GGCAGGCCUAACACAUGCAAGUCGAGCGGUAACAGGAAGAAAGCUUGCUUUCUUUGCUGACGAGCGGCGGACGGGUGAGUAAUGCCUAGGGAACUGCCCAGUCGAGGGGGAUAACAGUUGGAAACGACUGCUAAUACCGCAUACGCCCUACGGGGGAAAAGAGGGGACCUUCGGGCCUUCUGCGAUUGGAUGUACCUAGGUGGGAUUAGCUAGUAGGUGAGGUAAUGGCUCACCUAGGCGACGAUCCCUAGCUGUUCUGAGAGGAUGAUCAGCCACACUGGGACUGAGACACGGCCCAGACUCCUACGGGAGGCAGCAGUGGGGAAUAUUGCACAAUGGGCGCAAGCCUGAUGCAGCCAUGCCGCGUGUGUGAAGAAGGCCUUCGGGUUGUAAAGCACUUUCAGCGAGGAGGAAAGGUUAAGUGUUAAUAGCACUUAGCUGUGACGUUACUCGCAGAAGAAGCACCGGCUAACUUCGUGCCAGCAGCCGCGGUAAUACGAGGGGUGCAAGCGUUAAUCGGAAUUACUGGGCGUAAAGCGUACGCAGGCGGUUUGUUAAGCGAGAUGUGAAAGCCCCCGGCUCAACCUGGGAACUGCAUUUCGAACUGGCAAACUAGAGUCUUGUAGAGGGGGUAGAAUUUCAGGUGUAGCGUGAAAUGCGUAGAGAUCUAAAGAAUACCGUGGCGAAGGCGGCCCC
RNAcentral lists this ribosomal RNA (696 nucleotides) under Shewanella sp. SO-Y1-29. Its description in RNAcentral is "bacterial SSU rRNA". It matches the Rfam family "Bacterial small subunit ribosomal RNA", at positions 41 to 728 of the family's 1533-position model. Lineage: Bacteria; Pseudomonadati; Pseudomonadota; Gammaproteobacteria; Alteromonadales; Shewanellaceae. The record is from RNAcentral.